UAGCCGUAAACGAUACUCGCUAGGUGUCGGCCACGGUGCGACCGUUGUCGGUGCCGUAGGGAAGCCGUGAAGCGAGCCACCUGGGAAAUACGGCCGCAAGGCUGAAACUUAAAGGAAUUGGCGGGGGAGCACAACAACGGGUGGAGCUUGCGGUUUAAUUGGAUUCAACGCCGGAAAUCUUACCGGGACCGACAGCAACAUGAAGGCCAAGCUGAAGACUUUGCCGGAUUAGCUGAGAGGAGGUGCAUGGCGUAGUCGUG
This 260-nucleotide ribosomal RNA is filed under the name uncultured archaeon. RNAcentral's name for it is "partial 16S ribosomal RNA". It matches the Rfam family "Archaeal small subunit ribosomal RNA", at positions 748 to 1013 of the family's 1478-position model. The record is from RNAcentral.